UACGCACUCCUACGGGAGGCAGCAGUGGGGAAUAUUGCACAAUGGGCGCAAGCCUGAUGCAGCCAUGCCGCGUGUAUGAAGAAGGCCUUCGGGUUGUAAAGUACUUUCAGCAGUGAGGAAGGUGGGUAUGUUAAUAGCAUACUCAUUUGACGUUAGCUGCAGAAGAAGCACCGGCUAACUCCGUGCCAGCAGCCGCGGUAAUACGGAGGGUGCGAGCGUUAAUCGGAAUUACUGGGCGUAAAGCGCAUGCAGGUGGUUUGUUAAGUCAGAUGUGAAAGCCCGGGGCUCAACCUCGGAAUUGCAUUUGAAACUGGCAAACUAGAGUACUGUAGAGGGGGUAGAAUUUCAGGUGUAGCGGUGAAAUGCGUAGAGAUCUGAAGGAAUACCGGUGGCGAAGGCGGCCCCCUGGACAGAUACUGACACUCAGAUGCGAAAGCGUGGGGAGCAAACAGGAUUAGAUACCCUGGUAG
RNAcentral lists this ribosomal RNA (470 nucleotides) under uncultured bacterium. RNAcentral describes it as "bacterial SSU rRNA". It matches the Rfam family "Bacterial small subunit ribosomal RNA", at positions 330 to 793 of the family's 1533-position model. The record is from RNAcentral.